RNAcentral lists this transfer RNA (72 nucleotides) under Streptococcus equi subsp. equi. RNAcentral's name for it is "tRNA-Val(tac)". The stretch from base 5 to 66 matches the Rfam family "tRNA", at positions 6 to 65 of the family's 71-position model. From Rfam's summary of the family: Transfer RNA (tRNA) molecules are approximately 80 nucleotides in length. Their secondary structure includes four short double-helical elements and three loops (D, anti-codon, and T loops). Further hydrogen bonds mediate the characteristic L-shaped molecular structure. tRNAs have two regions of fundamental functional importance: the anti-codon, which is responsible for specific mRNA codon recognition, and the 3' end, to which the tRNAs corresponding amino acid is attached (by aminoacyl-tRNA synthetases). tRNAs cope with the degeneracy of the genetic code in two manners: having more than one tRNA (with a specific anti-codon) for a particular amino acid; and 'wobble' base-pairing, i.e. permitting non-standard base-pairing at the 3rd anti-codon position. Lineage: Bacteria; Bacillati; Bacillota; Bacilli; Lactobacillales; Streptococcaceae. The record is from RNAcentral.
GGAGUUUAGCUCAGCUGGGAGAGCAUCUGCCUUACAAGCAGAGGGUCAGCGGUUCGAUCCCGUUAANCGUCG